UACGGAGGAUGCAAGCGUUAUCCGGAAUGAUUGAGCGUAAAGCGUCCGCAGGUGGCUAUGUAAGUCUGCUGUUAAAGAGUGAGGCUCAACCUCAUAAGAGCAGUGGAAACUACAUGGCUAGAGUGCGUUCGGGGCAGAGGGAAUUCCUGGUGUAGCGGUGAAAUGCGUAGAGAUCAGGAAGAACACCGGUGGCGAAAGCGCUCUGCUAGGCCGCAACUGACACUGAGGGACGAAAGCUAGGGGAGCGAAUGGG
This 253-nucleotide ribosomal RNA is filed under the name uncultured bacterium. Its description in RNAcentral is "partial 16S ribosomal RNA". It matches the Rfam family "Bacterial small subunit ribosomal RNA", at positions 524 to 776 of the family's 1533-position model. The record is from RNAcentral.